UUCAGAGAAAGAAGAAAUCUGUGUUGGUAGAGUGACAGGCAAGCAUAAACACCAUCAUUAGAAAGGCAAAGGAGAAAAGAGGGCAUCCACUGGGUGGAAUAAGACCAGAUCCUGUUUUGGUCAGCAGAAUUCUGACCAGAAAACAAGUGCUGCUGGUCUCCUACCUCCAUUUGAUAAGCUGGAGUGCAAUGGCAUAGUCAUGUCUCACUGCAACCUUGCUCUCCCAGGUUCAAGAGAUUCUUCCACCUCAGCCUCCCAAGUAGCUGGGACUACAGGUAGACAUUGUUGAAGGAUACCUCAAAGUACCCAGAAGGACAGGAGGAAUUGCAGAACCUCAGGCUGGAGGGUAUCCCUCAAAACGAGCAAGACACAGGUCCAAGAGAGAAGGGGGUUACUAAUCAAGGCUGAUGGGAAGAUCUCAGGGGAAUUGUGCUCAACCAGAAGACGGAGAGGCAGAGAGAGCUCUGCGACUGGAUGCAAGCCAAGAUCCUAGAUGACUCAAUUUUUCACUCUAUCAGAUGAAGACAAUACUUGCCAUCUCCCAAAUAAAGGUUAUGAGGAUUAAUCUGUCCAUAAUGCAUUUGGAGAUCCUUGCAAUAAAGAUUAAAACCAUGUAUAAAAUUUACUAUAUUUUAUAGGUGUGAGUUUUCAAGAUCAGUUAUCUUGAAACUGUUUAUUCCCUAAGAAUUGGGCCUGCAGUUUAAUAUCCUAUGACAUGAAAUACAUGGUUCAAUCUUAGUUAGGGAUCCACAGUCUUCAAUAACUAGGCUUCUG
This 774-nucleotide long non-coding RNA is filed under the name Homo sapiens (human). RNAcentral describes it as "HSALNT0374546". The record is from RNAcentral. Lineage: Eukaryota; Metazoa; Chordata; Mammalia; Primates; Hominidae.